RNAcentral lists this ribosomal RNA (529 nucleotides) under uncultured Veillonellaceae bacterium. Its description in RNAcentral is "bacterial SSU rRNA". It matches the Rfam family "Bacterial small subunit ribosomal RNA", at positions 28 to 523 of the family's 1533-position model. Lineage: Bacteria; Bacillati; Bacillota; Negativicutes; Veillonellales; Veillonellaceae. The record is from RNAcentral.
GACGAACGCUGGCGGCGUGCUUAACACAUGCAAGUCGAACGGGAAGAGAUGAAGAGCUUGCUCUUUAUCGAAUCCAGUGGCAAACGGGUGAGUAACACGUAAACAACCUGCCUUCAGGAUGGGGGCAACAGACGGAAACGACUGCUAAUACCGAAUACGUUCCACGGGCCGCAUGACCUGUGGAAGAAAGGGUAGCCUCUACCUGUAAGCUAUCGCCUGAAGAGGGGUUUGCGUCUGAUUAGGCAGUUGGUGGGGUAACGGCCCACCAAACCAACGAUCAGUAGCCGGUCUGAGAGGAUGAACGGCCACACUGGAACUGAGACACGGUCCAGACUCCUACGGGAGGCAGCAGUGGGGAAUCUUCCGCAAUGGACGAAAGUCUGACGGAGCAACGCCGCGUGAGUGAAGACGGCCUUCGGGUUGUAAAGCUCUGUGAUCCGGGACGAAAGAGCCUGAGGUGGAUAGCCUAAGGAAGUGACGGUACCGGAAAAGCAAGCCGCGGCUAACUACGUGCCAGCAGCCGCGGUAA